AACGAACGCUGGCGGCGUGCCUAACACAUGCAAGUCGAACGAUGAAGCAGGAAGAGCUUGCUCUUUUUGUGGAUUAGUGGCGCACGGGUGAGUAACACGUGGGUAACCUGCCCUUGAGAAUGGGACAACAUCGCGAAAACGGUGCUAAUACCAUAUAAGACCACGAGACGAGAGUCUAGUGGUAAAAUGGAUUUAUUCGCUCGAGGAUGGGCCCGCGGCCUAUCAGGUAGUUGGUGGGGUAAAGGCCUACCAAGCCAAUGACGGGUAGCCGGACUGAGAGGUUGAACGGCCACACUGGAACUGAGACACGGUCCAGACUCCUACGGGAGGCAGCAGUGGGGAAUUUUGCGCAAUGGGGGAAACCCUGACGCAGCGACGCCGCGUGGAGGAUGAAGGUCUUCGGAUUGUAAACUCCUUUUAUAAGGGAAGAUAGUGACGGUACCUUAUGAAUAAGCCACGCUAACU
This 465-nucleotide ribosomal RNA is filed under the name uncultured bacterium. Its description in RNAcentral is "bacterial SSU rRNA". It matches the Rfam family "Bacterial small subunit ribosomal RNA", at positions 29 to 502 of the family's 1533-position model. The record is from RNAcentral.